Molecule: ribosomal RNA, 250 nt
Filed under: uncultured bacterium
Lineage: Bacteria
Description: partial 16S ribosomal RNA
Rfam family: Bacterial small subunit ribosomal RNA
Source: RNAcentral
ACGUAGGUGGCAAGCGUUGUCCGGAAUUAUUGGGCGUAAAGGGCGCGCAGGCGGUUUCAUAAGUCUGUCUUAAAAGUGCGGGGCUUAACCCCGUGAGGGGACGGAAACUGUGAGACUGGAGUGUCGGAGAGGAAAGCGGAAUUCCUAGUGUAGCGGUGAAAUGCGUAGAUAUUAGGAGGAACACCAGUGGCGAAAGCGGCUUUCUGGACGACAACUGACGCUGAGGCGCGAAAGCCAGGGGAGCGAACGG